UACGAAGGACCCGAGCGUUAUCCGGAUUCAUUGGGUUUAAAGGGUGCGUAGGCGGGAUAGUAAGUCAGUGGUGAAAGCCUGCAGCUUAACUGCAGAACUGCCAUUGAUGCUGCUAACCUUGAGUGCAAAUGAUGUGGGCGGAAUAUGACAUGUAGCGGUGAAAUGCUUAGAUAUGUCAUAGAACACCGAUUGCGAAGGCAGCUCACAAAAUUGUAACUGACGCUGAGGCACGAAAGCGUGGGGAUCAAACAGGAUUAGAAACCCUAGUAGUCC
This 273-nucleotide ribosomal RNA is filed under the name uncultured Sphingobacteriales bacterium. Its description in RNAcentral is "partial 16S ribosomal RNA". It matches the Rfam family "Bacterial small subunit ribosomal RNA", at positions 524 to 796 of the family's 1533-position model. Lineage: Bacteria; Pseudomonadati; Bacteroidota; Sphingobacteriia; Sphingobacteriales. The record is from RNAcentral.